Molecule: non-coding RNA, 4731 nt
Organism: Cyanistes caeruleus (blue tit)
Lineage: Eukaryota; Metazoa; Chordata; Aves; Passeriformes; Paridae
Source: RefSeq, a predicted model, not a curated record
UGGACUUUUCAUGAGAAACACUGUUCAGGAGCACAGUGCAUUUCGAUUUGCUGUGCAGCUAUAUAACACAAACCAAAAUACCACAGAAAAGCCCUUCCAUUUGAACUAUCACGUAGAUCACUUGGACUCUUCCAACAGUUUUUCAGUGACAAAUGCUUUCUGUUCACAGUUUUCCAGGGGAGUUUAUGCCAUCUUUGGAUUCUAUGACCAGAUGUCAAUGAACACCCUGACAUCAUUCUGUGGAGCCCUUCACACGUCCUUCAUCACACCGAGCUUCCCAACAGAUGCAGAUGUGCAGUUCGUCAUCCAGAUGCGGCCAGCAUUAAAAGGAGCCAUCUUGAGUCUCUUGACUUACUAUAAGUGGGAAAAGUUUGUGUACCUCUAUGACACAGAACGGGGAUUUUCCAUUCUUCAGGCAAUUAUGGAAGCUGCAGUACAGAACAACUGGCAAGUGACAGCCAGAUCUGUAGGAAGCAUAAAAGAUGUUCAAGAGUUCAGAAGAAUUAUAGAGGAGAUGGACAGACGGCAAGAAAAAAGAUACUUAAUUGACUGUGAAGUAGACAGAAUCAACACCAUUUUGGAACAGGUUGUAGUCCUCGGCAAACAUUCUAGAGGCUAUCACUACAUGUUAGCUAACCUGGGUUUCACAGACAUUGUUCUGGAGAGAGUAAUGCAUGGAGGUGCCAACAUUACUGGAUUCCAGAUUGUUAAUAAUGAAAACCCAAUGGUACAACAGUUUCUACAGCGUUGGAUGAGGCUUGAUGAAAGGGAAUUCCCUGAAGCUAAAAACUCACCAUUAAAGUACACGUCUGCACUGACCCAUGAUGCAGUCCUGGUCAUAGCAGAGGCUUUCCGGUACCUCCGAAGGCAGCGUGUUGAUGUCUCCAGGAGAGGCAGUGCUGGAGACUGCCUGGCUAACCCUGCAGUGCCAUGGAGCCAAGGAAUUGAUAUAGAAAGAGCACUUAAAAUGGUGCAAGUUCAAGGAAUGACAGGGAACAUCCAGUUCGACACCUAUGGGCGGAGAACAAAUUACACAAUUGAUGUGUAUGAAAUGAAAGCUGCUGGAUCACGGAAGGCUGGUUAUUGGAAUGAAUAUGAAAGAUAUGUACCAGCAUUAGAUCAGCUGCCCUCUAAUGACACUUCAUCUGUGGAGAACAGAACUAUAGUAGUAACUACCAUCUUGGAAUCACCAUAUGUAAUGUAUAAGAAAAACCAUGAACAACUAGAAGGGAAUGAGAGAUAUGAAGGAUAUUGUGUAGACUUAGCUUCUGAAAUAGCAAAACAUGUUGGAAUAAAAUACAAACUGUCAAUUGUUGGAGAUGGGAAAUAUGGAGCUAGGGACCCUGAGACUAAGAUAUGGAAUGGCAUGGUGGGUGAACUGGUCUAUGGGAGAGCAGAUAUAGCUGUUGCCCCCCUCACCAUAACAUUGGUGCGAGAAGAAGUCAUAGACUUUUCCAAACCCUUUAUGAGCCUGGGUAUCUCCAUCAUGAUCAAGAAGCCUCAGAAAUCUAAACCGGGCGUAUUCUCUUUCCUGGAUCCUUUGGCUUAUGAAAUUUGGAUGUGUAUAGUCUUUGCUUACAUUGGCGUCAGCGUAGUUCUUUUCCUAGUCAGCAGAUUCAGCCCUUAUGAGUGGCACUUGGAAGACAACACUGAAGAACCACGUGACCCUCAGAAUCCUCCUGACCCUCCAAAUGAGUUUGGAAUAUUUAACAGCCUUUGGUUUUCCCUGGGUGCCUUUAUGCAGCAAGGAUGCGAUAUUUCUCCAAGAUCUCUCUCAGGGCGAAUUGUUGGAGGAGUCUGGUGGUUCUUCACUCUCAUCAUUAUCUCUUCCUACACUGCUAAUCUCGCUGCCUUCCUUACGGUGGAAAGGAUGGUUUCACCCAUAGAGAGUGCAGAGGACCUGGCUAAACAAACUGAAAUAGCCUAUGGCACUUUGGAUUCAGGCUCAACCAAAGAAUUCUUUAGAAGGUCAAAAAUAGCUGUCUAUGAGAAAAUGUGGUCAUACAUGAAGUCGGCUGAGCCCUCGGUGUUCACCAAGACAACAGCGGAUGGAGUGGCGAGGGUGCGGAAGUCCAAGGGGAAAUUUGCCUUCCUGCUGGAGUCCACGAUGAAUGAGUACAUCGAGCAGCGCAAGCCCUGCGACACCAUGAAAGUUGGAGGAAACCUGGAUUCCAAGGGCUAUGGUGUAGCAACCCCCAAAGGCUCAGCAUUAAGAACUCCUGUAAACCUUGCAGUAUUGAAACUCAGUGAACAAGGCAUCUUAGACAAGCUGAAAAACAAAUGGUGGUACGAUAAGGGUGAAUGUGGAGCCAAGGACUCCGGAAGUAAGGUCAGUCACUGAAGGUCUUUUUGUACUGAUUAGCAAUCACAUUUUGACCCACUGUUUGUUUAUACCAAGAAUGACUUUCAAAAAUUGCUAUUUACAUUUUGAAGGAUGAAAGAAAAGAAUAGAAAAAAAUAAGUAAGUCUCAGAACUUGACAGCAUAUUUCUUAUAUGCAGUAACAGACUGUAGUUGUAAGUAUGUUUCACUGUGUGAGUAUUUUGCUAGAAACAUGCUAAGAGAAGCCCCCAAAGCCUUUCAAGCUGGUGUCUUCAUUUAAAUGUGCAAGUUUUAGCACAGUCACUGUCUAUUAUUCAGGCCAGCAUAUUUUCUUAUUUUUAUUGAAAAAACACAUUUUUGUUUCAAAAUUAUUACUUAGGUUCUCUACAUGUCAGUUUGGGAAACAGUCACAUGCUUGCUAAGGGCACAAAUUUUCAGGACAGACAGCUGAUAAAGAAAAAGUGCCUUUCCUGCCCUAAUUGCCAAUUCAUUUUGAAAUUGGUUGGAUUUAAAAAAAAUAAAUCUAGAAAUACUAAUGGUUAAUCAUUACCUAAAUAUUGUAUAUUCCUUUUUAUACUGCUUUGAACCAUUUUGCUGCUGUACUAUCCUGUCAUCCACCAGUCAUGCUAUGGGGCUGCCACUGUUAGACCCUAGGGCAGGUCCCACCCCUGAGGUCAAUCGGCCCAGUAGCUGCACACUGAAAUUGUAGGGAAUAUUUAUUUACACCAUUCAGUCAAAAGGAGGAUUUUUAUUUUUUUUUAUGCUUAUAGACCCACUGGGGAGAAAAACUCUGUAAAGUGCUGGGCUUGUUGAAGUGAAGGACAUUUUCAAAGGCACCAAGAGGAGGAGGAAUCCAGUUCCAGCUGAAAUCGGUCGCAGUUGAGUGCCUAACUCCCCUGGUGCCUUUGGAAGUGCUCUCUGUAAUCAUUCAAACAGAAAACUAUAAUUUCAAAGCACCCUUUCAGUGAUGGAGGACAUCAAGUUUCAGUGAAGCCAAUAAUAAAAUUUCAUUGAUUUCAGUAGGGCUGGAAGUUGCUUAGGGCACAACCCAGUAGCUGUCGUAGUAGAUAAAUUUGGGAUCAUGGGAUAUCUGAACACACAGCAGCUGCCAGAGGAACUGUGAUUGAAAAGAGGUAUAAAUGAUUAAGAUCUUUAGUUUAAAUGGGGUUGUUUGCUACAACCACACAUACCAAACUGCCUGUGAAACACACAUACAAGGUAGAUGAUAUUUUGCUCUGAUUAUAUGCAAAUUUAGCUCUCCCUAGAGAGAUUCGUUAACCAAGCUGUGUCAGCAGCGUCUUCUCUGGGCACAGACAAAUUUCUCUGGCACCUGCCCAUCCACCCAGCCAGUGUGGCGUGGCAGCCCAGCCAGCUGUGCCAGCCAGGAGCUGUUCCUGCCCACAGCCACCCACCCAUGCAGCAGCAGAAGGGUUGCAGCUCUACUUAAUCCCAUUCCAGAACCCUGUUCUACAAAAUGCAAGCUUCUCCCCAUCUGACAUGUAUUGAAGGAACAUAAACCCUGACCAGUGAUUUUUGUGUCACAAUAUCUGGUUUCAUUCAAUAACUCACUCUACAGAAGGUGCUAGUUUAUUUAGCUCAGGGCUCUGCUAUUUGACCUCUAAGUAACUGACCAUCUUUAUAGGGUGGGCUUUUUUCCUUAACUGUUGUAAAAAGGUAGUUAAGUUUAGCAGCAUCUCAAGAAUUUUACCUACAUUGGCCAAACCGAAGUCUGUAGUGGUUUGGCUUUUUCUUUUCUAGUUUUGACAUGGCCUUCUGUAAAUCCUGCUGUUUUAUGCAGCCACCGGCAAACUUUUCCCCGAGUGCCUUUGCUACCAGGGAUGCUCGGCUAUAGGCAAUCUUGCUCUGGGACACCGAAGGCCUGGGGAAGUCAGUGGCCAAAAAAACCUCAUUGCCUUGGAGUCAGCCAGGGUUUCACCCGCCACAGGGUGGAGGACAGAGCAGUCACUGCUGUGCAGCCCCAGGCUGUGGGGAUGGGGGGACAGCACUGGUCCAUGGGCCAGACACUGAACACUGUGAGUGUAGCUAUUCCAGCUAGGGCUAAUACAAAGUAGCCUGUUGUCUGUCUGUCUGUCUGUCUGCUCCUCACAGCAGAACUAACAGCGUGGCUCGUUUCUCUUAGGACAAGACAAGCGCUCUGAGCCUGAGCAAUGUUGCUGGCGUGUUCUAUAUCCUUGUGGGAGGCCUGGGGCUGGCCAUGAUGGUGGCACUGAUUGAGUUCUGCUACAAGUCUCGGGCUGAGUCCAAGCGAAUGAAACUCACCAAGAACACGCAGAACUUCAAACCUGCUCCCACCACCAACACCCAGAAUUACGCUACCUACAGAGAAGGCUACAACGUGUACGGCACAGAAAGUGUGAAAAUCUAGGGAUCUUCACCCUGACAGCAUGCA